CCUACGGGUGGCAGCAGUGGGGAAUAUUGGACAAUGGGCGAAAGCCUGAUCCAGCCAUGCCGCGUGUGUGAAGAAGGCCUUCGGGUUGUAAAGCACUUUCAGUGGGGAAGAAAGCCUUGGGGCUAAUACCCUCGAGGAAGGACAUCACCCACAGAAGAAGCACCGGCUAACUCCGUGCCAGCAGCCGCGGUAAUACGGAGGGUGCGAGCGUUAAUCGGAAUUACUGGGCGUAAAGCGCGCGUAGGCGGUCUGAUAAGCCGGUUGUGAAAGCCCCGGGCUCAACCUGGGAACGGCAUCCGGAACUGUCAGGCUAGAGUGCAGGAGAGGAAGGUAGAAUUCCCGGUGUAGCGGUGAAAUGCGUAGAGAUCGGGAGGAAUACCAGUGGCGAAGACGGCCUUCUGGACUGACACUGACGCUGAGGUGCGAAAGCGUGGGUAGCAAACAGGAUUAGAUACCCGAGUAGUC
Molecule: ribosomal RNA, 465 nt
Filed under: Vreelandella stevensii
Lineage: Bacteria; Pseudomonadati; Pseudomonadota; Gammaproteobacteria; Oceanospirillales; Halomonadaceae
Description: partial 16S ribosomal RNA
Rfam family: Bacterial small subunit ribosomal RNA
Source: RNAcentral